Molecule: unclassified non-coding RNA, 341 nt
Filed under: soil metagenome
Description: partial contains 5.8S ribosomal RNA, internal transcribed spacer 2, and large subunit ribosomal RNA
Rfam family: 5.8S ribosomal RNA (bases 3-121)
Source: RNAcentral
GAAUGAAGAACGCAGCGAAAUGCGAUAAGUAGUGUGAAUUGCAGAAUUCAGUGAAUCAUCGAAUCUUUGAACGCACAUUGCGCCCUUUGGUAUUCCAAAGGGCAUGCCUGUUCGAGCGUCAUUUGUACCCUCAAGCUUUGCUUGGUGUUGGGCGUCUUGUCUCUAGCUUUGCUGGAGACUCGCCUUAAAGUAAUUGGCAGCCGGCCUACUGGUUUCGGAGCGCAGCACAAGUCGCACUCUCUAUCAGCAAAGGUCUAGCAUCCAUUAAGCCUUUUUUUCAACUUUUGACCUCGGAUCAGGUAGGGAUACCCGCUGAACUUAAGCAUAUAAUAAGCGGAGGA